Molecule: long non-coding RNA, 959 nt
Organism: Lontra canadensis (Northern American river otter)
Lineage: Eukaryota; Metazoa; Chordata; Mammalia; Carnivora; Mustelidae
Exons: 4
Source: RefSeq, a predicted model, not a curated record
CAGGGUGUGGGGGGCAUGUGAGCUCCUCAGACACAACAGAGUUUUGGGCAAAGCUCCGGACAGAUGGAUGUCUUGCAUGUAGGACAACAUCUUUAUGAAGAGCAGGGGGUGUGUGUCUACAUGUAAGGGCACUUUGACUGAGCCUGGUGGGACAUGUCUUGAGAACCCGUUUGGCAUCCAUGUGGAUCCUGGCUGUGAAGAUGCUGAAGGCACAUCACAUCGGACUCUGGGUCUCUCUUCCUGGGCUUGACAGAUGCAGCUCUUAGAGCUGAGAGCCGGACCUGCCUCCGGGAGCCCGGCUUCCGUGCCGGGCUGUGCCGCCACUGCCGUUCACAUGGCUUCUUUACGGGAGCAGCUCCUUUGUCUCAGGGAAGGACGGCUUUCCUGAAUCCCCCAGCUUUGCCCAGCCCCUAUCUGAGUGUAUCAGGAUUGGGAUGAAACCACAGCGAGGGAGAGGGGUGGGGAGGUAGAGCAGCUCCGUCUCUCCCUGGGCUGGGUAGGCUCUGCUUGAUUAGCAUGAGAAUAGAGAGACUUUCCUGCAUCCUCCCUCAGGGAUGGAGAGGAAGGAGCAGAGGCUCUAGCUCCAUCCUACCCCAUCAGAGCUCCUGGGACUGAAAAUGACUACCGCCCCACUCCUCCGAUCCCCGAGGACCCAGAACCCACAGUGUUGAGAAAAGCUUUGACGGAGCCGGCGGGUGGAUCUCCACUCCAGAUUUUCCAGCCGUCCCUGCCCCCCCACCGCUCGGAGCAGGAUGCCGAGAUGGCUGGUGAUGCAGAAGAAGGAUCACUGGCACACAGGGACCGAGGUGCCAGACCACGGGUUCUGGGACCACAGUGGUUCCCUCAUUCUCCUCUGAGAACACAAAAAGGCAGACGGACCCACAUGCCCAUGAGGAAAUGUUCAGCUGUCCUCUAAGGCUCGGGACGUCCAGUCGCCACCACGUGGGGUAAACCAGGAG